GGGCGCUUUUCAAAACUAUAGUCUCUCCUAUGAACCAAAUUAAAAGUUUUGUCAUUAGGCUACAUGUGCACUGGCUACUGUAAAUAUAAGCUGUAGUGUUGGCCCAGCUAGGAAAGGUGUCUAAACUGAACAAAGCUCUGCCCCAGCUGUUAAUGGCCAAGAUACCUUCAGGUAUCCAUAUGAGAAGACUAUGGCAUUUGGAGGGGUCGCCACUGGAAGCAUGAAGGCGAAGGAUGCACUGAGGGUGCAGGGGAUCAUAACAUAAAGCGGGUUGAUGCCUAUAGACUGGGACUGAAAAAAAUAAGACAAAGUUCAGUCGAACUGCGACAAAGAGUCUAAUCUCUCAUUACGUAAGCUUGCUCGAUUCUAACUGCUCACAGGUAACAUAGAAAAGACAACAACACUCGAUCACACAGCAGUGCCUGGAUAUCUGCCUAGUCUUGGAUGAAUUAACAAGUAAAGUUACCAAAAAACCCUCCCCCCAUCCCUUAUUCUUCCUCUUUUUUUCCAGCCAGACAACAAUGGCACAUCUCCAUGGCUCUCCCAUAUGUGGCACUUCAGCCCCCUACAAAUCCCUCCAUUCACAGGCUCUCUUGCAUAGGCUAAUUCAUGAGGAUAGGACAACCUGUGCCAACUGCACAGCAUGAGGCAAGAAAGACACAGGACAAUGGCAAUAGCCCAGGGAGGAAUACUUUGAAGAGGCGACAUCUGAUCUCCAAGCCACUUCGACAGCCCAGAGACCUGAUGAGAUCAACAACAAACAAACGAAUAGGAGUUCAUGGCGCUUGAAGCCCUUGGCUAGCGCAAAGCCCCCUCCCAGCAGCAGGAUAAUGCUCCACGGCAUCUUUUUCUGCGUCACCUUCCAUGUGAGCAGAGCUGGAGUAGGGUCGCUGUCUGAUUGAGGCGCUGACAUAAGACACAAUCAUAUUCAUGAGCAAAGUUGUGGUGGUUUCGAGGGGAAGACAAAGAGCAAAGCAGCUACGAACACAGAAACUGUGGCGUCCGUCACAAACCUGCACACAGGUGACAUCUGCUCUUGUUCCGCUCUGUUGUUGAGCUGCUCCAGCACGGCUUGAACAAUUGGCACCAUCAUGGCUGUGGUGGCCGUGUUGCUGAUCCACAUAGAGAGGAAGGCGGUCACCCCCAUGAAACCCAACAUCAGUCUACGAAAGAGCAGAAGAAGCGUAAUCGAUGAUGCUAUUAUCAACAAGAAGACUCUCAGUGGCUCUUAAGC
Triplophysa rosa is the source of this 1234-nucleotide long non-coding RNA. RefSeq lists it as uncharacterized. The record is from RefSeq and is a predicted model, not a curated record. NCBI's taxonomy places the organism in Eukaryota, Metazoa, Chordata, Actinopteri, Cypriniformes, Nemacheilidae. The transcript has 7 exons.